CAAAGACAGUUCAAUUUGAAGAAUAGUCUCAAGAAAGAAACUAAGAACUAAGCAAGAUGAUAUUGUCUCGAAGCCUUUUCUUGCUCGCUCUGAUCGUUCAGGUUGUCGUUUCUACGCCAACCGACCACAACAAAAAGAAGAAAAGCGGCGAACAUAAGCCAAAACAUGUUCAUAGUGGUGAUGUACCAGCCAAGUA
Contarinia nasturtii (swede midge) is the source of this 196-nucleotide long non-coding RNA. RefSeq lists it as uncharacterized. The record is from RefSeq and is a predicted model, not a curated record. The transcript has 3 exons. Lineage: Eukaryota; Metazoa; Arthropoda; Insecta; Diptera; Cecidomyiidae.